RNAcentral lists this long non-coding RNA (13623 nucleotides) under Phaseolus vulgaris (common bean). RNAcentral describes it as "long non-coding RNA (PVUL_LNC001920)". The record is from RNAcentral. Lineage: Eukaryota; Viridiplantae; Streptophyta; Magnoliopsida; Fabales; Fabaceae.
GUCUGAGGCCAAUUCCAAAUAUCAUUCCACAUCCAUAUCCUAUAACCACUGGUUCCCAUCCAAAUCCAAAUCUCUCUUCUCCCAAUAAGCUCGGAGAAGAUGGAGGUUUUUGUUCAGUGUUGUUGCAACUCAUUGACAAUGGGAACCCACAUAAUCCCGAGUUUCCUAGGUAGGAGUCAUUUGAAAAAGUCGCAAACUGUUUUCCUUGAGGUAUUUCUCCCACAAGCUGGUUAUUGGAAAGAUUCAGGACUUCAAGAUAGUUCAGAUUGGUUAAUUCUGUUGGAAUCCUACCAGUAAACAUAUUUGAGGAGAGAUCCAUUGAUUCUAAAUUUGUCAAAUAUCCAAUGGAUUUGGGAAUAAGACCACUUAAUCUGUUAUGGGAAAAAUUGAGUCCUCUAAGAGCAUGAAGCUCUCCAAUUACAUAUGGAAUUUGUCCUUGAAAUUUGUUUUGGGAUAAAUCAAUGGUUACAAAGUUUUUCGGAAUUUGUUUCAAUGUCAUACUUAUCGCUUUUGUUGUUACAGUUACAUAUCCAAUUGUACCUCUUUGGGACCCAUUAUAUGGCAUAUAUGUAAUGCCAAUGUAUAGCUCAUCCCCUUCAUAUGAAAUGACAUUCUUCAUGGCUUUAAAAUUUUGUAUAUAGGUUUUUGGUAUUGGACCAUUGAAAUAGUUGGAUGAGAUAUCAAAAAUAACUAUACUUGAAAAUUCAUACUGCGUCUCUAAAUCGUCAAUGGGACCGUACAAUUUGUUGGAUCGCAAAACCAAUACUGUCAACAUUGGUAGAGUUUGAAGCCAAUGGGGAAAUUUAUCCUCAAUUUGAUUGUUGCCAAGAUUCAAGAUCUCCAACUGUGUGCAAUUGGACAAAGAUUUUGGCAAAGGACCUUCCAAUUGGUUGUCAUUAACAUUAAAAUAAGCGAGCUCACUAUUCAUUGAGAAGUUAUUUGGUAAAGUGCCAUUUAGUUUGUUCCUCUGUAGAUCCAAAAUAUAAAGGCCCCACAAGUUUGCAAGGCAUGGUGGAAUGACGCCUGUCAACUUAUUGUGGGACAAGAUGAGAACUUGAAGAUUACUUGCAUUACAAAUUGAGGAAGACAUGUCACCAGUGAGUAAAUUGAAACUAAUAUCAAGGAUAUUGAGGUUGUAGUUCCUUGAGAAUUGGUUUAUUGGAGUUGUCAACAAGUUGUGGGAUAGGCUCAAAAAUUGUAAUGAACCCAUUUCAUGUAACCACUUGGGCAUUGUUCCAUUCAAUUUGUUGUUGGAUAGAUCAAGCUCUAUCAAAAUUGGGAUUUUUCCUAGUAAUUUUGGAAAUUCAGUUAAACCCACAGAAGAUAAAUACAAUCUCUCUAAGAGAGGAGCAUUGGUGAAAAUUGUAUAGUUAUGAAGACCAUUGAAGUUGUUUGAUGAUAGACAUAAGUGAGUUAGGUUUACAAGGGUGAAGACUGAUUGUGGAAUAUUGCCAUGUAGCUUGUUGUAGCACAAAUAUAGAGACUUCAAGGAUUGAGAUGAGAUUGAAGGUAUAUGGCCUGUGAACUGAUUCUCUGAUAGAUCCAAUUCUUGCAAAAAUGGCAAAGAUAAACACCAAGUAGGAAUUGUCCCAUUUAGUAAGUUGUCUGUGAAGAAUAAAAAAGUUAGAUUUGAAAGCCCUGUUAUUUUGUUUGGUAGAGGGCCCUCCAAUCUAUUCUCUGAAAGAUCCAAGUGAAGAAGAUGUUGAAGAUUUGAAAGUGAGGAUGGAAUUUGGCCACUGAAUCGAUUGUAUCCAAGAUCCAAAAAUGUAAGAUGUGGAAGGGUUAAGAUUGAGGAUGGGAUUGAACCCUUGAGAUAGUUACUUGAGAGAUCGAGGAACGUAAUAUGUGUGAAGUUGGAGAAAGAGGCAGGGAUUGUCCCCUCCAACAUGUUCCUUGAAAGAUCCAACAUAGUGAGAGAAGCAGCACUGCAACUCAAGUUAGGAAACUGCUCAAGACUAUUAUCUGACAACCAUAAGUGUUUAAGUUUUGGUAAACAUAAGAUGUCAGUUUUCAAGUUUUCCUGAACUCCGGUGUAUUUAAGACUAAGAUUAACCAAAGAGGUAGAUAGAUUGAGUGACCUCAUCGAACUAAAAGUCAUAUUUACACCAUCCAAAAUAAGCUCCGCUAAAACUGUUGCAUUUUGAAGGAACUUCUUCCAACUGUUUUCUUUCCACAUUAACCUAGUAAAAGAGAGAUCAAGUGAUUCCAAUUUGGAAAGUUGUGAGAUUUGGGAGGGAAUUUCACUUCGAAAUUCAUAGUUAGAUAUAUUGAGGUGUGUGAGGUUCACAUACCCAACAGAAGGAAAUGAUAAUUGAGAGGAGUAAAAGUAAUUGAAAGUAAGAUUAAGUGAUUGAAGAUGAGAAAGACGGAAAAGAGAAGUGUUUGGAUGGAUUUCACCUGAAAGACGAUUGCAAGCGAGGUCAAGGCCUAUGACGUGACCAGAGAUGGGAUGGCAAAGAACCCCAGACCAUGAACAACAAUCUGUUCCAUUUUCCCAGGUUGACAUCUUUGGAACAAAAUUAUCACAAUCAGAAUAAUAAUAGUCAUGAACAUAAGCAAGAGAGUUCUUGAAUUGGAGCAACGCAAUUUUGUCGUGAAGAUGACAUAAGGAAUGAGAGAAUGAGAAGAGAAAGAGAAACCAAUGGGAACAUAAAAGAAGAAACCAACCCACCCAUGACUCCAUUUGAAAGUGUAUUUAAUGAAAAGUGUUAAGUGUGAUUUAAUUAAAGGAAUGAAAGAUGAAGAUUUAUAGCCAAAAUAAAAUAGGAUAUGAAGAUGAACACGGCAUCACUCAGCUUAUAAUAUUUUCAUUAAUGUUUCAAUUUCCAAAUUGCCUUGAAAGACGGGGCAUAUGGGUUGAUUUUCAUCUUCAAAUAAUGUAUUAUACUUUUCCACCAAAAUGGAAUUGACUUUAAGUCAAUGCCCCAAAAAUUGGGACUUGGGUUUACUAUUCUUCGUGUUUCGUGUUUCUUGGGUUUAACGGUAAAAAGUGGAAUUAAGUAAAUAUUGUAUUCUUCCUUACAAUCUUUAUCGUGAACAAAAUGCUAUUAUUUUUAUCUUUUAGAUACAUUUUCUAUUUCUUUUUGUAGCAUUUUUUAAUUUUUUUCAUAUUUUUUUCAUCUGCUAACCAUAUAAAGAAUACCAUUUUAAAACAAAAUUAAAGAUAUUGAUUUUAUUUUAUUUUCUUAGUAUAGUUUUCUAGGUUAUAAUGUGUAUUUUAGUUGAGUGUGUAGACUCAAACGCUUUAAUUUUAAUUCAUACAUCACAAUGAAUUUUUAAUGAGACCUUUAAUUAGUUAGCCUUUUGUGUUAAUGGUUUCAUUUAUCUGAAAAUUUAAAAAAUGAAUUAGUUAAAAAUAACACUACAUAUUAAAGAACUUUUACUUGGAGAGUUGAAAUUGAUGGUAUGAUAGAUAGAAAAAUAAACACUACAUUAGAAAACUUAUAUUUAAAAAUAUACAACAACUUUUAAUUUAACCAAUAGUGACAAUUUAAUUCAAUAUUUUUUAGUGCUUAUGAUCUAUCUUUUAUCUUUCUAUUCAAGAAUUUCAAGUUUCAGACUGAAUUGCAGGUAAAUGUUUAGUAUCUUUGGAAGGCUGAAAUAAAUGUUAAGAGUUAAAGUACUAACUAUUUUUUAAAAUAGCUUGUGAUUCUUAUAAUUUUUUUUUAUAAAUUUGAUGAUUAUGAAUUUUUUAAUAUAGGUUUAUUUUAUUUUAAAUAUAUAAGUAAUGUAUUUAUAUUAAAAUUUUGUGGUGAUAUUUAUAUUAACAUGUUUUUGUUAGUUUAAGACUAAAAUAAAUGUAAGAGUUUUGGUCUUCUUACCAACUAAAAAAGUAUGAAUAAACGUACUAACAAUUUUUUAUUUCUUUCAUGAUUUCGGAAUUGGAUGGUUUUUUUUUUAAUAUAUGUUUAUUUUGUUUUUAAAAAUAUUUCAAUAAUGUAUAUACAUUAUUGUUGUCUUUAUUAAGACUUUUGUGGAUGAUAUUAAUUUGUUGUUGUGAGUUUGAAACUAAAGAAUAUAUAAAUAUCUUUCAAUAUUGUUUGUGAUUAAAACUCAUACAAAACAAAUAAAAUUUUGUAUAAAUUUAUGUAAAUGUAUACAUAAUUAGUAAUCAUUAAACUCAUUCAAAAAGUCUACUGAUACAUUCACAUUGUAGACAAUAUAAACCUUCAAACAUACAUGCUAAUAUCAUUAUAACAUAAUAUAAAAUAUUUGUUGCCUCUAUUUGGACUUUUGUGGUAGUGUUUAUCCUGACCUACAUGUAUGAGUUGUUUGUGAUUUUUUGCAUUUUUUUAAAAUUCAUGAUUCUUUUAGUUUUUAAUAUAGAUUUAUUUAUUUUAUUUACAAUAUAUUUGCCUUUACUUGAAUUUUUGUGUUAUCAUUGAUUAUGUUAACAAGCUUUAUGAAUUUGAGACUAAAACAAAUGUUAAGAAAUUAGGGUUUUAGUAAAACUGAAGCAUAAGAUAAAAAAAACUAACAAACUAAUUGUUUUUUAAUACUGUUUGUAACAGCGUAAAAAGAUAAAAGCAGAGCCACACCCCUCUCCCCACACAGUGCCUUUUAUUUUCUUUUUCUUUUUCUCUCUUCAUAUUCUUUUCUCUUCCUCUUUUUUAAUUUUCUCUCCCAAUAUUCAUCUAUUUUAGAAUCUAAUCGGACCACGUUGUAGCUGACGAGUUAAGGAACAUUUCUACCCUAUCAGAUUUUCAAACAGAGUAAGUUCAUUUUUGCUCUAAAGUUCCUUUGUUCUUUAUUUUUCCUUAAGAUUUAGUCAUCAAUCUUGGUGGGGUCAGUUGAGAAGUUUAAUCCUCUCAACUUAUUCUACUAUAUACUGAAUUUUUGUUCUGUUUGGAUAACUUGCAUUAGGCCCGUAAAUCUUGAAGUUUAUCGACGGUGGGAAAUAAAAUUCUAAAAGUUGCUUGAGGUAAGGGAAGCUAAAUUUAAUUUUUAAUAGCACCCUAGGAUAGAAGAUAUGAAUGCGAAAAGGACGUGGUCCCAAUAUUCAAUUUUUCUUGCAGGGAUGUUGUGUGUUAUAUAUAUUGGGUUGUUUGUUUAUAUAUUAUUUAAAUUUGUGGAAAUAUUAGGUUUUGAUGAUUUAGUAUUAAAGUGUUAUUUUUUUUAUGUCAAAUAGACUUUUGAAUAUUGUGGAUUACUUUUGAAAUGAUAUUGUAUGACGGAAUGGUAUGGAAUUGAAUUCAUACAUUUGGGAUAAUGUAUGGACUGAUGUUUGUUGUGUAUUAAGUAUUGAUGCCUAUGUGGUAACAGAGAUCUCCGAGCUUCACUGAUGAUCUAAGUCACAUAGAUUAAGACAUCAGGUGGUGAGAAGCUGAUGGGGGAGUUCAUGCACACCGUGACAUAUGAGAUGUACGACUUUGGUUGUAUUGAACUUACCCUGAUCUUUUCUGUUGGAUUCGCUGAUAAUCUUUGGAUCAGGUGUUAGUCUCUGGUAGGACUGACUUAAUACGGAUCUUCCGGAAGACGUUGUUUGUUGAAUAUUCUGGAUGUGUAGAUCCAUGUGAGAUCUAUGUGAUUGUUUUAUGUUGGAAUUUGAAGAAGAUUGAAUAAUUGAGAAAUUGACCAUGUAAUUUGAUUUUCUCUUUUAAUUUAAUUUCAUAUAUUAUAAAAUUUUAUUUUCACUAGCUUACCCUUGCUUUUUGUGUUGUGUUUAAACUGCGAUGACUGUACUAUGUACACGAGCAGAUGACCAUACAGGUGCAGGAAAGUCUUAGAGGUUUCAGAGUUUUAUUUUUAGCUAUGAAUAUGUAAAUAUUUGUAUUUCUAUAAAUCCUAAUAAUGUAUUAGGAAUGUUUUGAAAAACUUCAAAUUUGUAUAGAAAUACGUAGAACUUGUAUUGUAAUAGUUAGAUAUUAUUUUCUGGGGUGUUACACUGUUUAUGUGUUUCUUCCGUUCUUUCAAAUUUGGAUCAUUCUUGAUUUUUUAAUAUAUAUUUAUUUUAUUUUAAAAAUAUCUGAUUAAUGUAUUUAUAUUAUUUUUGUCAUUUUAGGACUUUUGUGUCCAACAUAGGAAUUGAGUUGGAGUCGGUGCCGACAAAAAUGAGAAACAUGCCAGAUAAAUAUUUUAAAUAAACAAAAUGAGUUUAAUAUGACAUCAUUUUGCAGUAAUUAGCUACAAAAUCACUUAUUUUAUCUGUUUAUAAAUAAAAAAAUAAAAAAAUUUCAUGAUAAAAUGCAUGAAUACAUGGAUGAUAAAAUUUGUCAAAUGAUGAUAAUUUAACGGUAAAAUGUGUAAUUUAGUAAAUAUGUUAUUCUUUCUUAUAAUCUUUAUCGUCAACAAAAUGUUAUUAUUUUUAUCUUUUCAAAUACUUUUUCUAUUCUUUUUAGCAUUUUUAAUUUUUUAAUAUUAUUUAUUUAUUUGUCAUCUGUUAAUCAAAUAAAUACUACUAUAGUUAAAAACAAAUAUAGAUAUUGAUUUGAUUAUAAAUUGUUUAAGAAUUAAAAGGUAUUUACCAAACUUGUUGAAGAGAAUCAACUUAAUUAUAAGUACUUAUGUACGAGCUGACAAUAAAAAUAAAUAAAUAAAUAUAUUUACUACAACAUUAUAUUGCCAAUUUGUCUUGUUUUUUUUUAACUUGUACAAUACAUACGUUUAUAACUUGGAGGAUGAAGUAGAUGUAAGAGUUUAGGAUGUUUAUAAAAAUUAAGCAAAAGCAUAAAAAUCUAGAUUUUUAUUGUGAUGUUUAUAUUAACUUUAUCAUGAUAUGUUAAUAAUAUAGUUAUACAUUAUAAUGGUGACUCCAUUAUAAUCACCUCAUAACACCAUUUAAUCUUUUAAGAUAUUUUUAUAACCUUCAGGUUUAGUUCAUCUAUACCAGAAUAUCUAUCAUUCAUUUUCAUUCAAACUUGUAAUAUGUAUAAUAAAAUGUUUGUUUCUUUGGAUAAGAAUUCAAAGUGAAAAAUCAAUAAAUAACUUGAGACAGAAAUUGUGAAUAACGUUGUUUUUUCAUUUGUUAUGCUUUAAACAAUAAAAAGAGUUAUAAUAUAUUUUAGAUAAAUUAAUGUUAAAAAUUUGUAAUUUCUUUUAGAUUUGAUAUGUACUAUCAUUUUAAUAUUACGCUUUGAUUGUUAGGUUAAAUAUGUCAAAAGAAAGUGAGUUUAUUUCUUUCACAAACAAAAUUUGAAGAUGCAGACAAAGGAAAUGUGGCAACAAAAGUAGAACACAUUUAUUUCACAAGUAAACAUUGAUCAAAUCUCUCAUACAAUAUGAUGUGAUAAGAUUCUUGAUUUACAUUGAAAUUAAACAAAAACAAGUGCAUAGAACAUUCUCCACUUAUUUAUUUUGCUACAAUUCUCAUGACUUCUUUUUCCCCAUUAUAUUAAGACCACCUCACAAGCCAUUCAAGCUUUCCUAUAAUACAAAAGUCUGAGGCCAAUUCCAAAUAUCAUUCCACAUCCAUAUCCUAUAACCACUGGUUCCCAUCCAAAUCCAAAUCUCUCUUCUCCCAAUAAGCUCGGAGAAGAUGGAGGGUUUUGUUCAGUGUUGUUGCAAUUCAUUGACAAUGGAAACCCACAUAAUCCCGAGUUUCCUAGGUAGGAGUCAUUUGAAAAAGUCGCAAACUGUUUUCCUUUAGGUAUUUCUCCCACAAGCUGGUUAUUGGAAAGAUUCAAGACUGCUAGAAAGUUCAUAUUGGUUAAUUCUGUUGGAAUCCUACCAGUGAACAUAUUUGAAGAGAGAUCCAAUGAUUCUAAGUUUGUCAAAUAUCCAAUGGAUUUGGGAAUAAGACCACUUAAUCUGUUAUGGGAAAAAUUGAGUCCUCUAAGAGCGUGAAGCUCUCCAAUUACAUAUGGAAUUUGUCCUUCAAAUUUGUUUUGAGAUAAAUCAAUGGUAAAAAAGUUUCUUGGAAUUUUGUGGAGUGUCAUACUUAUCGCUUUUGUUGUUACAGUUACAGAUUCAUACAUAUAUUCAGUUAUAUAUAGAAUCAUAACAUUUAGGGAUGCACUGACUUGAGUAAGUGGUGUGUUCAUGUAGAACUCGCUCCCUUUAUAUUUAAUGACAUUCUUCAUGGCUUUAAAAUUUUGUAUAUAGGUUUUUGGUAUUGGACCAUUGAAAUAGUUGGAUGAGAUAUCAAAAAUAACAAUACUUGAAAACCCAUACUUUGUCUUUAAAUUGGCAAUGGGACCAUAGAAUUUGUUGGCUCGCAAUACCAAUAUUGUCAACUCUGGUAGAGUUUGAACCCAAUGGGGAAAUUUAUCCUCAAUUUGAUUGUUGCCAACAUCCAAGAUCUUCAGUUUUAUGCAAUUAGACAAAGAUUCUGGCAAAAGACCUUCCAAUUGGUUGUUAUUGAGAUUCAAAAUAGUGAGAUAACUAUUCAUUGAAAAGGUAGUUGGUAAAGUGCCAUUUAGUGUGUUAUUUUUUAGAUCCAAAACAAAAAGGAAUUGCAAGUUUACAAGGCAUGAUGGAAUGACGCCUGUCAACUUAUUGUGUGACAAGCUGAGAAUGAUAAGAUUACUUAUUUUACAAAUUGAGGAAGACAUGUCGUCAAUGAGUAAAUUGAAACUAAUAUCAAGGAACCUGAGAUUGUAGUUCCUCGAGAAUUGGUUCAUUGGAGUUGUCAACAAGUUGUGGGAUAGGUUCAGAACUUUUAAUGAAUCGAUUUUAUGUAACCACUCGGGCACUGCUCCAUUCAAUUUGUUGUCAGAUAGAUCGAGCUUUGUUAGCAUUGGGAAUUUUCCUAAUAAUUUUGGAAAUUUAGUUAAACCCACAGAAGAUAAAUACAAUCUCUCUAAGCGAGGGGUGUUGGUGAAGAAUGAAGAGUUAUGAAAAUUACUGAAGUUGUUUGAUGAUAGACAUAAGUGAGUUAGGUUUACAAGGGUGAAGACUGAUUGUGGAAUAUAUCCAUGUAGCUUGUUGUAGCACAAAUAUAAAGACUCCAAGGAUUGAGAUGAGAUUGAAGGUAUAUGUCCAGUGAACUGAUUAUCUGAUAGAUCCAGUUCUUUCAAAAAUGGCAAAGAUAAACACCAAGCAGGAAUUGUCCCAUUUAGUAAGUUAUCAUUGAAGGAUAAAAAAGUUAGGUUUGAAAGCCCUGUUAUUUUGUUGGGUAGAGGACCCUCCAAUCUAUUCUCUGAAAGAUCCAAGUGAAGAAGAUGUUGAAGAUUUGAAAGUGAGGAUGGAAUUUGGCCAUAGAAUUGAUUGUAUCGAAGAUCCAAAACAGUUAAAUAUGGAAGGGUUAAGAUUGAGGAUGAGAUUGAAUCUUUGAGAUAGUUACUUGAGAGAUUGAGGGAAGUAAGAUGUGUGAAGUUGGAGAAAGAGGCAGGGAUUGUCCCCUCCAACAUGUUCCAUGAAAGAUCCAACAUAGUGAGAGAAGCAGCACUGCAACUCAAGUUCGGAAAAUACUCAACACUAUUCUCUGACAAGCAUAAGUGUUUAAGUUUUGGUAAACAAAAGAUGUCAGUUUUCAAAUUUUGUCGAACUCCAGUGCCUCUAAGACUAAGACUAACCAAAGAGGUAGACAAAUUGAGCUGACUCAUCGAACUAGAAGUCAUAUUUACCUUAUCCAAAAUAAGCUCCCUUAAAACUGUUGUAUUUUGGAGGAACUUCUUCCAAUUGCUCUCUUCCCACGUUAACAAAGUAUCAGAGAGAUCAAGUGAUUCUAAUUUGGAAAGUUGUGAGAUCUGGGAAGGAAUUUCACCUCGAAAGAGAAAAUCACCAGACAAAUUGAGGUGUGUGAGGCUCACAAACCCACCAAAAGGAAAUGAUAAUUGAGAGGAGAAAUAAUUGAAAGCAAGAUUAAGUGAUUGAAGAUGAGAAAGACGAAAAAGUGAAGUGUUUGGAAUGAUUUCACCUAAAAGACCACUGCAGGUGAGGUCAAGGCCUAUGACGUGACCAGAGAUGGGGUGGCAAGUAACCCCAGACCAUGAGCAACAAUCUGUUCCAUUUUCCCAUGUUCUGGUCUUUGGAACAAGAUUAUCACAACGGAAAUGAUAAUUGUUAUCACUGAAAGAGGUCUUGAAUUGGAGCAAGGCAGUUUUCUCAUGAAGAUGACAUAAGGAAUGGGAGGAUGAGAAGUGAAAGAGCAACAAAUGACAACACAGAAAAAGCAACCACCCCACCCAUGACUCCAUUUGAAGCUGUGUUUAAGGAAAAGGGUUCACUGUGAUUUACUUAGAGCAAUCAAAGAUGAAGAUUUAUAGCCAAAAUAAAAUAGUUUGUCUUCAUUAAUGUUUUCAAUUUCCAAUUUGUCUUGGUCAGUGCCUGCAAAGACGGGGCAUUUGGAAUUGACUUUGGAGUCAAUGCCCCAAACAAUGGGACUUGGGUUUACUAUUCCAACUACAAACAAUAAAGAGAUCACAUGCCAUAUAAAUAUUUUAAAUAAACAAUAUGAGUUUAAUAUCACAUCAUUUUGCAAUAAUUACCUACAAAAUCACUUUUUUACUAAAAUUAAUAAAAUAAAUUUUUUUGAUGAUAAAAUGCAUGGAAAAACAUGGAUAAUAAAAUUUGUAAAAUGAUGAUGAUUUAACGGCAAAAAGUGCAAUUAAGUAAAUAUUUUAUUCUUCCUUAUACUCUUUAUCGUUAAUAAAAUGCUAUAUAUUUUUAGACACAUUUUCUAUUUCUUUUUGUAGCAUUUUUUAUUUAUUUAUUUGUCAUCUGUUAACCAUAUAAAUAAUAGUGUUUAAAAAAAUAAAGAUAUUGAUUUGAUAAUAAAUUGUUUAAGAAUUAAAAGAUAUUUACUAAACUUGUUGAAGAGAAUAAACUUAAUUAUAAAUACUAUGUACGAGGUCAACAAUAAAAAGUUUGCUAUACAGUAAUAAAUAUAUUUUUUAAUUAAUGCCUUGCUAUUAAUUUUUUUUCUUUUCUUUAUUUUCUUAGUAUAGUUUUCUAGGUUAUAACGUGUUUUUUUAGUUGAGUGUGUAGACUCAACGACUUUAAUUUUAAUGCAUUGGGCCCUUUUGACUUUCGUGUGUAAAUUAAUGACUUUUAUGAAAGAUGAAGCUUCAAGAAUUUAGAGAAGGCAAUUAAUUAAUUCAUGUUUUGGCAAUGUUAGGUUAGAGUAGAGAGAAAUAUAGCAUCAUUUUUUUGUCUUGUUCAAUCAGACUUCUGAUACAAAAAUUUAAUGUUAUUUAUGCAAAAAGUGAAUAGAAUCUAUUAAAUUAUUUUUAUCUAAGAACUUCCAAGUAUUUCAUAUGAUUUCUUUACUUCACAAUGAAUUUGUAAUAAGACCUUUAGCCUUUUGUGUUAAUGGUUUCAUUUAUUUCAAAAUUAAAAAAUGAAUUAGUUAAGGUGACUGCAUAAGGAAUAUAAUAAUAAACAAAUUAUAACAAUAAAUUAAUUUAUUGUUUUAAUUGAUUUCAUAGAAUUAGAUUUAUUUGGGUUUUAAUUAUUAUUUUUGUUAAUUUUAUGUUUAUAAAGUAAAUGGUUUAAAAGAAGUGUUUAUCUUUAUUAUUGAGUCAAAUAUGCAAAAGUCUAAGUGGUUUCUUUGAAUUAAAACAGAAAACAAUAUCUAAGGUGAAGAAAGGGGAAAUAAAAUCUACAAUAUCUUCAUAAACAGAAUUGGAAUAAAAUAUUUUGCAAAAUACAAUAAUGAUGUAAAGUUAAAAACGAUUAACAAAAUCUAAAUUACAAUAUUUUUUCAAGAUCCUUGGAGCAUAAAAGCUUAUAAAAAGACACAAGCCUCAAAGAGAGAGGAGAGAACUUCAUAGGAUUUUCUUAGUUUAUUUUCUUCUUUGUAAUUCUUUUGUUUAUUUUACCUCUGCAUGGAAAGUUAAACCUUUUUAGUUGAUUUCUUUGUAAUCCCCAUUGAGUUAUGAUGUUUUCAUCAAUAUAAGUUUCAUUUUUCAAUUCUCUACAACAGUUGUUUUUUAUCUUCUAAUCUACUGAAAAACUGGUUUUUGUUAGAUGUUGUACUUGAACUCAUGAUUGAGAGUUUUCCUUACUUUAAGCUUUGGUUUCUUAAUUAAUUCGCAUUGUUCUAAUUAUUAAAAAAAAAUUACAUGAAAGACAAAAUUAGCUAUAUGAAUAUAAUUCCAGAAUGGGAAUGUGCAAUUUCUUUGAUCGCACAAAGAGUAAAUAUAGUAAAGUUUGAAGACAAAAAGAGCAAAUGUAUCAUCAAUGAGCAAAAGGAAUAUUGCUGUUUUAUAUUUACUUGGAAUUUUUUCUGCAUUUGUUUGAUUUUUCAACAACAGAUUUUUUAAGAUUAAGAAAAUUAUAAUUUUAGUCAUAAUGCACAAUGUCAUUUUCCAUUUGGCUCUUGCAUUAAAAGAAUUAUUGGGACGCAAAUUCUAAUAAUCUUCUAUCAUAAAAUUAAAAAAUGUUACAGGUCAUUGAUUUAAAUUAAAAUAUUUUAUGAACACAACUCAUUUUAAAUUAAGAAUAAGCAUACAUUUAUUUUCACAAAUUACACUUUUCAUGGCUCAACUUUGAGGAACCAAAUGGGUUUAACCUAACUUUUCCCAAAUAAAAAGUUGAUUAUUUCCAAUAGUUUAUAUAUGGAUAACAAUACAAUUCAGAAAGUGAUGCAACAUAUACUUUCUCUUUUUUAAGGAAUAAAUAAAUAACCUUUUUUUUCCAUAGCCACUGCCAUAAGAUGUGUAAGUCACAACUUUUACAUUAUUAUUUUUAAAUUCAAUGCAUUUUGAAAGAGAGAAAAAAAUUGGAGAUUAAUUAUUUUUAUUUUAUUUUUUAACUUCACAUUUUAACACACAUUAUUAUAUUAUUAAAGUGUGUUGUCAAGUGGGUAUAUUUUUUUAGAGAGGUUCCCAAAUAUUAUUUUCCAAGAGAAACUUUGGGAGAGAGGAAAUUAUGAAUGAGAGAUAAGUAGUAUAAGGUUUUUGAAAUAGUAUUGGUCUCAAAAACAGUUUUGAAAUUCCAUGUCACAAAACGACAAUGAUUUACUAGACAAACUAAUAACUUAAUAUGACAAUAAGAGAUUGCACAAACCAACUCAAAUAAGAGAUUCCCAACAUAAGUUUAAAGAUUAAAGAGGACAUUCCACAAACUAGUCCAUAUUUGAAAAAUAAUUUUGAGAGUUGUAUAUUUCAUUAAAAAAUUCCAUUUUUAUUGUAUUUUCUAUAUUUUUUGUUUUCAUGAAAAGAAGUUAUGUUAAGCAAUUAAUUAGUGGUCACCUCCAAAUUUUGAAAUGUAAAAUAGGUUACAAGAAAAUUAGUUUAUUCUUCUCAUAACAAAAUUUGAUUGGAGAGAGAAAGGAAAUGUGACAACAUAAGUAGAACACAUUUAUUUUACAACUAGAUCAAAUCUUUCAUACAAUAUGGUGUGAUAAGAUUCUUGACAUACAUUGAAAUUGAACAAGAACAAAAGCAUGGAACAUUUUCUAGUCAAGCCACAUAUCCACUAAUUUAUUAUGCUACAAUUCUCAUGACUUUCUUUUCACCUUUAUAUUAAGACCACCUCCAACCAUUUUCACAAGUCAUUCAAGCUUUCCUACAAUACAAAAAUCCAAGGCCAAUUCCAAAUAUCAUUCCACAUCCAUAUCCUAUAACCACUGGUUCCCAUCCAAAUCCAAAUCUCUCUUCUCCCCAGAAGCUUGGAAAAGAUGGAGAUUUUUGUUCAGUGUUGUUGCAAUUCAUUGACAAUGGAAAUCCACAUAAUCCCGAGUUUCCUACAUAGGAGUCGUUUGAAAAAGUGUCAAACUGUUUUCCUUUAGGUAUUUCUCCC